This 215-nucleotide long non-coding RNA is filed under the name Panax ginseng (ginseng). RNAcentral describes it as "long non-coding RNA (PGIN_LNC010878)". Lineage: Eukaryota; Viridiplantae; Streptophyta; Magnoliopsida; Apiales; Araliaceae. The record is from RNAcentral.
CCCGACCCAAAGCUUCAUUACAAACUUGCAUAAGCCAUGCUCACGGGUUUCACUUCAUACAUCGCAUUUUUCCUAUUUUUGGACACUUUUGAUUUUCGAAAUAUUUUACCCAGCCUCACUAAAACAGCCAUAACUCUCGCGUUUUAAAACAUUUUUGAGCGAUUCUUGAGCCCACGCGAAGAUAACUUCAAGGGCUACAACUUUUGUCUCACGAC